GACGAACGUUGGCGGCGUGCUUAAUACAUGCAAGUCAACUGAAGCAUCGGUAGCAAUACUGGUGUGGAGGUGGCGCACGGGUGAGUAACACGUAGGUAAUCUGCCUAUAGGACUGACAUAACUCCGGGAAACCGGUGCUAAUAUCAGAUGAUGCAGCGGCUCGACAUCGAGACAGUUGUUAAACCUUCGGGGCCUAUAGAUGAGCCUGCGUCUGAUUAGCUAGUUGGCGGGGUAACAGCCCACCAAGGCAACGAUCAGUAGCUGGUCUGAGAGGAUGAUCAGCCACACUGGAACUGAGAUACGGUCCAGACUCCUACGGGAGGCUG
This 326-nucleotide ribosomal RNA is filed under the name uncultured Chlorobiota bacterium. RNAcentral's name for it is "bacterial SSU rRNA". It matches the Rfam family "Bacterial small subunit ribosomal RNA", at positions 28 to 351 of the family's 1533-position model. Lineage: Bacteria; Pseudomonadati; Chlorobiota. The record is from RNAcentral.